This 467-nucleotide ribosomal RNA is filed under the name uncultured bacterium. Its description in RNAcentral is "partial 16S ribosomal RNA". It matches the Rfam family "Bacterial small subunit ribosomal RNA", at positions 28 to 506 of the family's 1533-position model. The record is from RNAcentral.
GACGAACGCUGGCGGCGUGCUUAACACAUGCAAGUCGAACGGAAAGGCCCUGCUUUUGUGGGGUGCUCGAGUGGCGAACGGGUGAGUAACACGUGAGUAACCUGCCCUUGACUUUGGGAUAACUUCAGGAGACUGGGGCUAAUACCGGAUAGGAGCUCCUGCUGCAUGGUGGGGGUUGGAAAGUUUCGGCGGUUGGGGAUGGACUCGCGGCUUAUCAGCUUGUUGGUGGGGUAGUGGCUUACCAAGGCUUUGACGGGUAGCCGGCCUGAGAGGGUGACCGGCCACAUUGGGACUGAGAUACGGCCCAGACUCCUACGGGAGGCAACAGUGGGGAAUAUUGCACAAUGGGCGGAAGCCUGAUGCAGCAACGCCGCGUGCGGGAUGACGGCCUUCGGGUUGUAAACCGCUUUCGCCUGUGACGAAGCGUGAGUGACGGUAAUGGGUAAAGAAGCACCGGCUAACUACGU